Molecule: ribosomal RNA, 2932 nt
Filed under: Escherichia coli
Lineage: Bacteria; Pseudomonadati; Pseudomonadota; Gammaproteobacteria; Enterobacterales; Enterobacteriaceae
Description: 23S ribosomal RNA
Rfam family: Bacterial large subunit ribosomal RNA
Source: RNAcentral
GGGUUGUGAGGUUAAGCGACUAAGCGUACACGGUGGAUGCCCUGGCAGUCAGAGGCGAUGAAGGACGUGCUAAUCUGCGAUAAGCGUCGGUAAGGUGAUAUGAACCGUUAUAACCGGCGAUUUCCGAAUGGGGAAACCCAGUGUGAUUCGUCACACUAUCAUUAACUGAAUCCAUAGGUUAAUGAGGCGAACCGGGGGAACUGAAACAUCUAAGUACCCCGAGGAAAAGAAAUCAACCGAGAUUCCCCCAGUAGCGGCGAGCGAACGGGGAGCAGCCCAGAGCCUGAAUCAGUGUGUGUGUUAGUGGAAGCGUCUGGAAAGGCGUGCGAUACAGGGUGACAGCCCCGUACACAAAAAUGCACAUACUGUGAGCUCGAUGAGUAGGGCGGGACACGUGGUAUCCUGUCUGAAUAUGGGGGGACCAUCCUCCAAGGCUAAAUACUCCUGACUGACCGAUAGUGAACCAGUACCGUGAGGGAAAGGCGAAAAGAACCCCGGCGAGGGGAGUGAAAAAGAACCUGAAACCGUGUACGUACAAGCAGUGGGAGCACAGAGCAAUCUGUGUGACUGCGUACCUUUUGUAUAAUGGGUCAGCGACUUAUAUUCUGUAGCAAGGUUAACCGAAUAGGGGAGCCGAAGGGAAACCGAGUCUUAACUGGGCGUUAAGUUGCAGGGUAUAGACCCGAAACCCGGUGAUCUAGCCAUGGGCAGGUUGAAGGUUGGGUAACACUAACUGGAGGACCGAACCGACUAAUGUUGAAAAAUUAGCGGAUGACUUGUGGCUGGGGGUGAAAGGCCAAUCAAACCGGGAGAUAGCUGGUUCUCCCCGAAAGCUAUUUAGGUAGCGCCUCGUGAAUUCAUCUCCGGGGGUAGAGCACUGUUUCGGCAAGGGGGUCAUCCCGACUUACCAACCCGAUGCAAACUGCGAAUACCGGAGAAUGUUAUCACGGGAGACACACGGCGGGUGCUAACGUCCGUCGUGAAGAGGGAAACAACCCAGACCGCCAGCUAAGGUCCCAAAGUCAUGGUUAAGUGGGAAACGAUGUGGGAAGGCCCAGACAGCCAGGAUGUUGGCUUAGAAGCAGCCAUCAUUUAAAGAAAGCGUAAUAGCUCACUGGUCGAGUCGGCCUGCGCGGAAGAUGUAACGGGGCUAAACCAUGCACCGAAGCUGCGGCAGCGACACUAUGUGUUGUUGGGUAGGGGAGCGUUCUGUAAGCCUGUGAAGGUGUACUGUGAGGUAUGCUGGAGGUAUCAGAAGUGCGAAUGCUGACAUAAGUAACGAUAAAGCGGGUGAAAAGCCCGCUCGCCGGAAGACCAAGGGUUCCUGUCCAACGUUAAUCGGGGCAGGGUGAGUCGACCCCUAAGGCGAGGCCGAAAGGCGUAGUCGAUGGGAAACAGGUUAAUAUUCCUGUACUUGGUGUUACUGCGAAGGGGGGACGGAGAAGGCUAUGUUGGCCGGGCGACGGUUGUCCCGGUUUAAGCGUGUAGGCUGGUUUUCCAGGCAAAUCCGGAAAACUAAGGCUGAGGCGUGAUGACGAGGCACUACGGUGCUGAAGCAACAAAUGCCCUGCUUCCAGGAAAAGCCUCUAAGCAUCAGGUAACAUCAAAUCGUACCCCAAACCGACACAGGUGGUCAGGUAGAGAAUACCAAGGCGCUUGAGAGAACUCGGGUGAAGGAACUAGGCAAAAUGGUGCCGUAACUUCGGGAGAAGGCACGCUGAUAUGUAGGUGAAGUCCCUCGCGGAUGGAGCUGAAAUCAGUCGAAGAUACCAGCUGGCUGCAACUGUUUAUUAAAAACACAGCACUGUGCAAACACGAAAGUGGACGUAUACGGUGUGACGCCUGCCCGGUGCCGGAAGGUUAAUUGAUGGGGUUAGCGCAAGCGAAGCUCUUGAUCGAAGCCCCGGUAAACGGCGGCCGUAACUAUAACGGUCCUAAGGUAGCGAAAUUCCUUGUCGGGUAAGUUCCGACCUGCACGAAUGGCGUAAUGAUGGCCAGGCUGUCUCCACCCGAGACUCAGUGAAAUUGAACUCGCUGUGAAGAUGCAGUGUACCCGCGGCAAGACGGAAAGACCCCGUGAACCUUUACUAUAGCUUGACACUGAACAUUGAGCCUUGAUGUGUAGGAUAGGUGGGAGGCUUUGAAGUGUGGACGCCAGUCUGCAUGGAGCCGACCUUGAAAUACCACCCUUUAAUGUUUGAUGUUCUAACGUUGACCCGUGAUCCGGGUUGCGGACAGUGUCUGGUGGGUAGUUUGACUGGGGCGGUCUCCUCCUAAAGAGUAACGGAGGAGCACGAAGGUUGGCUAAUCCUGGUCGGACAUCAGGAGGUUAGUGCAAUGGCAUAAGCCAGCUUGACUGCGAGCGUGACGGCGCGAGCAGGUGCGAAAGCAGGUCAUAGUGAUCCGGUGGUUCUGAAUGGAAGGGCCAUCGCUCAACGGAUAAAAGGUACUCCGGGGAUAACAGGCUGAUACCGCCCAAGAGUUCAUAUCGACGGCGGUGUUUGGCACCUCGAUGUCGGCUCAUCACAUCCUGGGGCUGAAGUAGGUCCCAAGGGUAUGGCUGUUCGCCAUUUAAAGUGGUACGCGAGCUGGGUUUAGAACGUCGUGAGACAGUUCGGUCCCUAUCUGCCGUGGGCGCUGGAGAACUGAGGGGGGCUGCUCCUAGUACGAGAGGACCGGAGUGGACGCAUCACUGGUGUUCGGGUUGUCAUGCCAAUGGCACUGCCCGGUAGCUAAAUGCGGAAGAGAUAAGUGCUGAAAGCAUCUAAGCACGAAACUUGCCCCGAGAUGAGUUCUCCCUGACUCCUUGAGAGUCCUGAAGGAACGUUGAAGACGACGACGUUGAUAGGCCGGGUGUGUAAGCGCAGCGAUGCGUUGAGCUAACCGGUACUAAUGAACCGUGAGGCUUAACCUUACAACGCCGAAGGUGUUU